UGCUCUCUCUCUCUCUCCAAUUAAACUCCUCUCUCUCUCUCCAAUUAAACUCCUUUCAGUUUCUUCGUAACCUAUCAAAACCCUAAUUGACAGUCAUAUUCAAUCAAAAUUGGAGUUUCUCAUACCUAUCAAAACCGGUCACAUAUUCAUGUCCUUUAUGCUACUGGAUGAACAAAUCAUCCCCCUUUGCACGUUUUAAUUACAGUGCUUUAUGGUGAAACAAAUAACAUCGUGAAAAAAGAUGGAAGUUACCAGUAACGAACCAGAAGAAACCCGUGUUCUAACUCCACUGAGAUUCUUACGGGGCGUGUUUUGUUUACUCGUUUGCUUUCAACUGCAUUCGUGAUAUUAGUCUACUGCGGUUUCAUCACGGCUGUUAUCUUUAGACUUUUUAGCGUACAUUACAGCCGAAAGGCAACAGCCUUUUUCUUCGGCAGCUGGCUGGCGUUGUGGCCUCUUUUAUUUGAGAAAAUAAACAAAACGAAAGUAAUAUUUUCCGGAGAAACCGUUCCUGCGACUAGGGUCAUUCCGUUAACUCGAUAUACAACUUAAUGAGGCUAUGAAACCUUUAAGCUUCAAUACGACACAUAUACGAUCCAUUGGCGAGCAUACCACGUUGGUCAAUGAGCCCAUUUUUCCAUCUUCAUGAAUCUUGACAAAAGGAAAGUUAGUUACAUCUUCUUCAAUUACUUCAACAAUAUAGGAUGAAAUUGCGUGUUCUGUUGAUAGACACCAGUUUUUCAAAGUCACCAGUGGUGAUAAUUACCAUCACAUCUUUGACGGUUGCAUAAUAUCAUGUUGCGAUCUGGCCAUUUUCUUUUUUUGUUCUUAGGUGAACUUUGAGGAGGUUAAGAAAGAUCUUAAUCUGGUUCCAUCGGUUCCUCAAAAGUCUCUUGCUCACCAGAAAUAUGAAAAUAUGCUGAUGUGGUUAAAGCUUCUGUUAAUGAACAUAUUAAUUGAACCCUAUAUCAUUAUAGUUGAGACUUGAUUCAUUCAAUGGGUGCCAAACUCAUCUAUUUCCAAUUCCACCAGAAAGCACCAGUUUGUAUCAGCAGUUCAGCACCUUCACGGGCUUCAAGUAUGUGUGUUCCUACACUUAUUCUUACAUUGUUUGUGUAAUCAUUUUCUAUUCGUGGCUAUCUGAAGUGCCUAUUUUUUACUGAAUAUGUUUCUGUAAAGUUUAUUUUUAUGGUGUGACGGGGGAUGAAGAUGAGUCUGUGGUACAUAUCACAAACAGAAAGCAAGCGGAAGUUGCACCCAAGAGAAUAUUCUUGAAUGUUGCUAAACCAAGCUCCAAGUUUGUCAACGAGCUGAGCUGCAAUUGAGUUACUUGAGAUUGGCCUUGAAUCGAGCCGAGCAUAGACCUCAUUUAAUAAACAAGCGCGAGCUACGCUUAUGGAGCUUGACUAGGUGCCCACUUUUUUAGAAGUUUUGAUUUCAGGCCUUAGUUCAUCGCUUCAUUACUUGCUUGGGUUAUAGAAAUAUAUACAAGUUUGAACAACUACUUAUUUCUGUUUGCAUAUGUGUGCUUUUUUAAAAGUUUUGCUUUCACACCUUAGUUCAUCACUUCAUGACUUGCUUGGGUUAUAGAAUUUUAAGUUUUGAAGUUGCAAUGCUCUUAUCUAGCUCCAAGCUGUUCAAGUCCCAUCAUAUUUCUAUCUAAUAUAGGGUGAUGACAUUGAGAUAACACCAGAUUGGAUAUUUAACCAGAGUUUCGCUGCAUCUAGGCCAGAUGCUGCUACAUCAAGUAGUGUGGAUGCUAGAUGAUCUCAUGGGGAUGGAAGUUAGAUUCUCAUACUUACGAGUUUUUUCGUACUUUUGGAAACAUUAGAUGGGGAAUAUUAACAUUGUUAUGGUCAGACACGACUCAUUGGGUUAUUGAGUCACUAUGUUUUUUAGCGAUGAUAAAGUGGUUUUAUGUUGCACACGCGUACAAAGGAAGAUGGAUGAUUUUUGACGAUGAUAAAGUGGGCGUAUCUAAGAAUCCUCCAAAAGACAUUGCAUACCUCUCCUUUAUUGGAUGAUUCAAAGUUGAGUAUUUUUAUCUUAUUCUAUGACUUGGAUCUUUCUUUUGUCCAAGGUCGAUUUGUAUACAGAAGAGGGAAACACAAAGAUAGUGGAGGGCUCUACUGACUCAACUAGGAUCUUAUAUUUUGUUAUGUUAAAAACGGUUGAUUGUUGAAUGAUGUUAACACAUUUGUACUAAUUUUCAAGAUUGCUUGAUUACAUUUGUACUAAUUUAUUUGGUUCAAU
RNAcentral lists this long non-coding RNA (2253 nucleotides) under Helianthus annuus (common sunflower). Lineage: Eukaryota; Viridiplantae; Streptophyta; Magnoliopsida; Asterales; Asteraceae. The record is from RNAcentral.